UAAAAAUAUUUUUUUAUACCUAUAUAUUUUCUUAGAUGAUUACAUAAAAUAAUUAAGUAACAUAAACUAAUAUAUGUUUAAUUUUCUAAAAAUAUUUUAUAAUUAGUAAUAUUGAAAUGUUUUAUUUAUUUUUCAUAAAUUUAGUUGACAAUAAUAUCUUUCAAUUACAGCAAAAAAAUAUCGAUAAAUUAUAUUUUACUUAUAUAAUAUUAUUUUAAAUACAAUCACAAUUUUUUACUGCUUAGUUUUAAGAGUUUCAUAAAUUUAGUUGACUAUAAUAUCUUUCAAUUACAGCAAAAAAUAUCGAUAAAUUAUAUUUUACUUAUAUAAUAUUAGUUUAAAUACAAUCACAAAUUUUGACUGCUUAUUUUUAAGAGAUAUUAAAAAAAAACUAAAAAGAAAAUUCUAAAAUAAACAUCGUUUGAUCAAAUAGUUACAAAAUAGUUUAAUGAGGUAGAUAUAUUAUAUUUUAUCAUUAUUAAAGUUAUUUUUUCUUAAUAUUAAAUAUGCUUUUAAAUUUUAUGUUUUUGUAUUUGUGGAACUUAAUAGAACCAUAAUCAAAAUACCAAAGCAAAUCUGAAUUCUCAUUUUUAAGAUUAUUCAAAUAAAUUUUAGUUUCCAUUCAAUAAAUCAAAGGCGUAAAGUUAUUUAUAAUUUUUAAAAUAUAUUGUAAAUAUUGAUAUGUGUACAUGAGCUUUCAAAAAUGUAUCACCUACUUACGCAUGUAACUUCAUAUUGAUCAUCCUUUAUUUUCUAAUAUUUUUAUAAAGAACAUCAACAUAUAAUUUGAUAAAUGUUAUGAAAAUACAUGCACAUUUGACUUAAUUAUAAUAAAAAAAUAAUUAUACUUCAUUUUUAAUUUGGAAGAAUAUAUGUAACUCAAUAUACUCACAACAUGAAUGAUUCUACUAAUCCAACUUAUAUCUAAAAUCAUAGAUUUAACUACAAUAAGAUUAUAUAAUUUUAUAAGAAUAGUAAUCUAUUUUAUAAAUAUAAAUCAUAGGACAACUCAAAAAAUAUUAAAAAUGAAAAUAAAAUAUUAACCAACUGUUACAAUUUAGUUCUUUUGUAAAAUUUAUAUAUAUAAAUGAGACUUCAGAAUACUAUCGUUUCGUUAUAUUAAUUUAUGUAAUUUGGAAUCAUACACUUUAGUUUUUUUUCAUUCUAAGCAUAAUAUAUCUUAAGUUAUACAUAUUCUUCAUAAAAUAUAUUUACAUAUCUAAGAUAACAACCAUCUAAAUGUAAAUAAGAAAUUAAUCAAAAUUUUAAUAUAUAGAAUAAAAAAUAUUAGAGUUGAAUUCAUAUAUGCAAUCUUAUUUACUCAAAUGAUAACUAAAUCGACUAAAAACCAACAAAAUCGAUUAGAUAUAACAUAUAUAAAAAUUAAAGUAAUAUAAUAUUAUUAAUAUAAAUGAUGCAAAUAAAUUAUAAAUUAAUUUAAUAUUAAAUGUAAGUAGCAAUCAAUUAUUAUAAUAUAUUUACUUUAGAAAUAUUUAUAUCCGUGAAUUAGUACGGAAAAAUCACCUAGUUGAAAGUAAUCAACUAUCUAUUAUUAUAAAGAAGAGGGUCUCUAUUCUCCUAGGCUGCUACCUCAGAAAAUACUCUCACCAGAGCGCGACAUCUGUCCAGUCUAUUACUAAACUCGGCGUUUCAUUAAAUCAAACUUUAUUUCUGGUACGUCAAUUUUUUCAGCAAGCUUUUCGUCUUCUUCUCAUCCUCAUUAACUAGAUUCUCCGUUGAAGUCUCAAGGGCUCUUCUAUCUCGAGUUGUGCUUCUCACACCGUCUAGGACUUCUCUCGAGCUCAGCCCCAAAACGAGAUUCAGCCUCGCUGCUUCUUCUCUCGCUGUAGCGACGUUGGUUGUCCCAAUUUUCUUCCUGACUUGGCUAACGAAAACGAGAACAGUAACAGAGGCUCAUUAGAUCGUGUUCUGGUAAGCGUCGCCGCUAUCGGUUCUGCAGUGUUCUUCCGCCACCUUGACCCCUUCUCUCACGAUGACUGGAGAUUCAUCUAAAGGUAAAGUAAUUAACUUUAUGAUUUUCUCACUUCUCAGUGAUCUGUUUGUUGAGUGGUUAACAAUUUUGAAGAUUUCUGUUGUCUAUGUCACCUCUGUUCGUGCCUAUGGAGGUAUGCGGUUUGAUCCUAACGGCAAAAUCUCUGUGGAAUAAGAACCCUUUGGUGCAUUUUACUCUGUUGUGCCUCAGGUACCUUAAAGUUUGAAUCUUUGAACUGAUUUUCUGGAGGAUAUUUGUUUGACUAAUAUGUAUGCUUUGUAUAAACUUAUUGAUGCAAAUGCAGGCUGAAUUUAAUGAGUUCGGUGGAAGCUCAAUGUUGGAUGCAACUCUUGCUUGAGACAAUGAACUGUCUUGGACGCUGUAGAAUGCUAUUGAAGCACUUUAGGAGACUAUGCUUCAGUUUGACAUCUUGGCUGCUUUGCAUCCAACUCCAGCUGUUUGUGGGCUUCCAGAAGAAGAAGCCAGACUUUUGAUUAAAGAAAUAGGUGAAAUAUUGGCUGUUUGUAUUAUUUUCUUAUUUGAUGAAUUUUGCGAGAAUUGCCAUUUUUCCCAUCUAUUGAUGUACUCUUGAGAAUUGAAUUGCCAAGAAGUAACAAGACUAUCAGUUUACAUAACU
Molecule: long non-coding RNA, 2630 nt
Organism: Brassica rapa (field mustard)
Lineage: Eukaryota; Viridiplantae; Streptophyta; Magnoliopsida; Brassicales; Brassicaceae
Source: RefSeq, a predicted model, not a curated record